RNAcentral lists this long non-coding RNA (477 nucleotides) under Homo sapiens (human). RNAcentral describes it as "HSALNT0155547". Lineage: Eukaryota; Metazoa; Chordata; Mammalia; Primates; Hominidae. The record is from RNAcentral.
UAUCAACGGCUUUUGAACCAGAAGCCCUUGUCCUUGAAGCUGCAAGAAGAGGGGAUGGAGCGCCAGCUGGUGGCCCUCCUGGAGGAGCUGUCGGCUGAGCACUACCUGCCCAUCUUUGCGCACCACCACCCGAGCCUGGGAGCCAGCGUCCCAGCCUAAUCACGGAUCUGCUGCCUCCCAGCUGUCUUGACUGAAGGCCACCGCCCCUGCAGGAGCUUGGGUCCUCAUCUGGGGGCCAUGCACAGGCCCGUCCCACCCUGCAUGUGGGAAGGGAGCAGGAGGGCCUGGCUGGGUGAGGGGAGGCCUUCCUGGGAAGGCGUGUGGUGCAGGCCUGUGCUCACAGUGGCACCAGCAACCCUGGGUCUCCCUCUCUGCUGCUCCCCAGAACCCCGGGGCCCUCCUGCUCUCCACAACUGUCCCUCCUUACCCCAUGUAGCUCGAUCCGAAGCAGGAGUGUCAAUAAACCUGUCUUCAGUG